Molecule: ribosomal RNA, 253 nt
Filed under: uncultured bacterium
Lineage: Bacteria
Description: partial 16S ribosomal RNA
Rfam family: Bacterial small subunit ribosomal RNA
Source: RNAcentral
UACGGGGGGAGCAAGCGUUGUUCGGAUUUACUGGGCGUAAAGAGCGCGCAGGCGGUCGUUCAAGUCGAGUGUGAAAGCCCCCGGCUCAACUGGGGAGGGUCACUCGAUACUGAUCGACUCGAAGGCAGGAGAGGGAAGCGGAAUUCCCGGUGUAGUGGUGAAAUGCGUAGAUAUCGGGAGGAACACCAGUGGCGAAGGCGGCUUUCUGGCCUGUUCUUGACGCUGAGGCGCGAAAGCUAGGGUAGCAAACGGG